AGUGAAUAGAUACCCGGGUAGUCCACGCCCUAAACUAUGUCAACUAGGUGUUGGGUGGGUAAAACCAUUUAGUACCGUAGCUAAACGCGUGAAAGUUGACCGCCUGGGGAGUACGGCCGCAAGGUUAAAACUCAAAGGAAUUGACGGGGACCCGCACAAGCGGUGGAUGAUGUGGAUUAAUUCGAUGCAACGCGAAAAACCUUACCUACCCUUGACAUGCCAGGAACUUGCCAGAGAUGGCUUGGUGCCCGAAAGGGAGCCUGGACACAGGUGCUGCAUGGCUGUCGUCAGCUCGUGUCGUGAGAUGUUGGGUUAAGUCCCGCAACGAGCGCAACCCUUGUCGUUAAUUGCCAUCAUUUGGUUGGGCACUUUAACGAGACUGCCGGUGACAACCGGAGGAAGGUGGGGAUGACGUCAAGUCCUCAUGGCCCUUAUGGGUAGGGCUUCACACGUCAUACAAUGGUCGGUACAGAGGGUUGCCAAGCCGUGAGGCGGAGCCAAUCCCAGAAAGCCGAUCGUAGUCCGGAUUGCAGGCAGCAACUCG
RNAcentral lists this ribosomal RNA (544 nucleotides) under uncultured bacterium. RNAcentral describes it as "bacterial SSU rRNA". It matches the Rfam family "Bacterial small subunit ribosomal RNA", at positions 774 to 1314 of the family's 1533-position model. The record is from RNAcentral.